This is a long non-coding RNA of Oncorhynchus keta (chum salmon), 893 nucleotides long. RefSeq lists it as uncharacterized. The transcript is spliced from 4 exons. The record is from RefSeq and is a predicted model, not a curated record. Lineage: Eukaryota; Metazoa; Chordata; Actinopteri; Salmoniformes; Salmonidae.
UCUCCAUGUCCCUCUAAUCUAUACUUUCCAUAGUUUAACUUAAUGGCUAAUUAACAAUUCUUCCUAUCUCCAUCACCUGUACUCCAGACGGAACCCUAUUCCAGAUGUAGUGCACUAUAUAGGGAACAGGGAGACGAUUCGGGUACAAUCUAUGCUUUCCCGUUUAACUUGAUGGUAAAUUAACAAGACCUCCUUUCUUUAUAUGAUGAGGACGAGUUUUCCCUGGUUGUCCAGAGAAACCCUACUGAGGUUAUGGGAUGAGUUUUCCCUGGUUGUCCAGAGAAACCCUACUGAGGUGUUGGGAUGAGUUUUCCCUGGUUGUCUAGAGAAACCCUACUGAGGUAAUGGGAUGAGUUUUCCCUGGUUGUCCAGAGAAACCCUACUGAGGUUAUGGGAUGAGUUUUCCCUGGUUGUCCAGAGAAACCCUACUGAGGUAAUGGAAUGAGUUUUCCCUGGUUGUCCAGAGAAACCCUACUGAGGUAAUGGGAUGAGUUUUCCCUGGUUGUCCAGAGAAACCCUACUGAGGUGUUGGGAUGAGUUUUCCCUGGUUGUCCAGAGAAACCCUACUGAGGUAAUGGGACGAGUUGGAAGACAUCAACUAAAGGAAUCCAACUUGAUUUAAAUAGUGUAUUAGUGGUCUGUUACAGGGACGGCCCAACAGAUAAUGGGUAUUUCCCUGAACCUGGGAGACAAUGUCUUAUUUGAAAUGGAGUGUGAUGCCGAUGGUUUAAAAUCCAAGAUGGAACUUGUGUGUAAACAUUCAUUCAUUUGGCUGUUGUUGUUGAAAUGGUGACGGCUACCACACAAUCACACUACAAUAGAAUUUAGUCCAACUGUAAUUAGUCAAAAACAAGAAGUUAAACUUGGAGCUCAUUAAUUCCUAACAAAUAGCU